This 1488-nucleotide long non-coding RNA is filed under the name Astyanax mexicanus (Mexican tetra). RNAcentral describes it as "lncRNA (ENSAMXG00005011786.1)". Lineage: Eukaryota; Metazoa; Chordata; Actinopteri; Characiformes; Acestrorhamphidae. The record is from RNAcentral.
NNNNNNNNNNNNNNNNNNNNNNNNNNNNNNNNNNNNNNNNNNNNNNNNNNNNNNNNNNNNAGAGGAGAGGAGAAGAGAGGAGAGGACAGAGAGAGAGGAGAGAGAGGAGAGGAGAAGAGGACAGAGAGAAGAGGAGAGAGUGGAGAGAGAGGAGAGGAGAAGAGAAGAGGAGAGGAGAGAGGAGAAGAGAGGAGAGGACAGAGAGAGAGGAGAGGAGAAGAGGAGAGGACAGAGAGAAGAGGAGAGAGUGGAGAGAGGAGAGGAGAAGAGAAGAGGAGAGGAGAGAGGAGAAGAGAGGAGAGGAGAGGAGAAGAGAGGAGAGGACAGAGAGAGGAGAGAGAGGAGAGGAGAAGAGGAGAGGAGAAGAGAGGAGAGGACAGAGAGAGAGGAGAGGAGAAGAGGAGAGGAGAGUAGAGAGGAGAAGAGAGGAGAGGACAGAGAGAGAGGAGAGGAGAAGAGGAGAGGAGAGAGGAGAAGAGAGGAGAGGACAGAGAGAAGAGAGAGAAAAGGAGAGGAGAGAGAGAGGAGAGGAGAGAGAAAAGGAGAGGAGAGGACAGAGAAGAGGAGAGAGAGGAGUGGAGAGAGAGGAGAGGAGAAGAGAGGAGAGGACAGAGAGAAGACGAGAGAGAGGAGAGAGAGGAGAGGAGAGGAGAAGAGAAGAGGAGAGGAGAAGAGAGGAGAGGACAGAGAAGAGGAGAGAGAGGAGAAGAGAAGAGAGAGGAGAGGAGAGGACAGAGAGAAGAGAGGAGAGGAGAGAGAGAAGAGGAGAGAGGAGAGGAGAGGACAGAGAGAAGAGAGGAGAGAGAGAAAAGGAGAGGAGAGAGAGAGGAGAGGAGAGGUCAGGGUUAGCGAGAGCUGUGAUACAGGGCACACCACCCUCCCCGUACCCCAGAGACCGCUCCAUAUACUGUAUGUGGGCGUCCAGCCUGACCAGAGUCAUAUUCAGAGCUCAGGGCGAGGCAGGGUGCGCAUUACGCACUGUUUGUUUAUUGCCUUCCCAAUAUUGUCUUUUGCUAUAUUGGAUAUGGACAAAGGCAGCUCUGUGCACACAAACCUCCAGCAAUGAAACGUAGUUGAGAGCGAGGGUGGCCUGACCUUCCUAACGAGCACUUCUGCGGGUGAAUUGAGGCAAUUAUACGAUCCAGCGAAAAUAAAUAAACUGGGUCAGAAUAAAGCAAGCCAAUAUUUAGAGUAAUUGUGCGGUGAGGUACGGCUUCAUUGUGCUGAAUGUGAAUUACAUUUGUGUGUAUUGUAUUUAAUCCAGGGUGAUUUAGAUCUAGUGUUACUCAGGUCAGAGUGUUAACAAACACAGCAUUACGUAUAAUGGUAACGUAUAUUACUGCAGCAUUGUGGGUGGGCUCCAUCAGCUGGGGAAUUGAACCCUAGAGUCCAUCGUACUUCAAUUAAUUACCAAUCUAAGUUUGGUCCCAUUUACUAGACGCCGUAUCUGCAGAUAUGGAAAUAUAACAUUUAUUAAUAAUAUUACUA